GAUGAAGAACGUAGCGAAAUGCGAUAAGUAAUGCGAAUUGCAGAAUUCAGUGAAUCAUCGAAUCUUUGAACGCACAUUGCGCCCGCUAGUAUUCUGGCGGGCAUGCCUGUCUGAGCGUCAUUUCAACCCUCGCCCCCGGCUUUUGCUGGGAGCGGUGUUGGGGAUCGGCCGCCCGUCACUGGGAGGCCGGCCCCGAAAUAGAGUGGCGACCACGCCGUGUGCUCCUCUGCGUAGUAGUAAAUCACCUCGCAGGCGGACAGCGGUGCGGCCUGCCGUAAAACCCCCAACUCUUUCUGGUUGACCUCAGAUCAGGUAGGAAUACCCGCUGAACUUAAGCAUAUCAAUAAGUGGAGGA
RNAcentral lists this unclassified non-coding RNA (355 nucleotides) under soil metagenome. RNAcentral describes it as "partial contains 5.8S ribosomal RNA, internal transcribed spacer 2, and large subunit ribosomal RNA". The stretch from base 1 to 120 matches the Rfam family "5.8S ribosomal RNA", at positions 35 to 154 of the family's 154-position model. The record is from RNAcentral.